Molecule: long non-coding RNA, 1426 nt
Organism: Rosa rugosa (rugosa rose)
Lineage: Eukaryota; Viridiplantae; Streptophyta; Magnoliopsida; Rosales; Rosaceae
Exons: 2
Source: RefSeq, a predicted model, not a curated record
UAUCACCUCCAGUUUCUGCAAAUCUCUCUCUCUCUCUCUCACUGUAUUCAGAAUAUAUGACCCUUUUCCUCCCUCCUUUCUACGGGGUCAUCGAAUCUCCUUUCAUCUCCCCCAUAAAGAAAAUCAAAGAAAACUACCAAAUCAUCAAGUGCACGACGAGAUGAGAGAGAAAUCUUCAAGCUAUUGAUCAUCAACGUCAGAAACGAGAGAGAGAGAGAGGAGAGAUGUGACUGCCCAACGCCCAGCACCCAGGCCGCCUACCCCACCUAGUCGCCGCCUACCCCGCCUAGCCACCGCCUAGUCCGCCUAGGCGGCCGCCUGGAGACCCAACGCCUAUUGACUUCGCCCAGGCCGAAAUCGGAACGGUACACUGGCGCCUAGCGCCUAGGCGGCCGCCUAGGCCGAUUUUUAGAAUACAGGGUGUUGAUAGUGAUUUAGCAGAAGUAGAAGGCAGAGGUAAAAAGAAAAAAUAGAAUGAGUUUGAUUCUGGGCUGGGUUUCGGGUAACUGGAGAGAUAGAGAAGAAGAGCUGUGGAGAUUGGAGCGGAGAAGAAGAGAGUGAGGGCUCUGAUCACUUCGUCGGAGGUCUGGGCUGAAUUCUAGGUGAAGAAUCAAGCCCAGAAGAAUAGGGAUUCAUGAAUCCAAUGAAUUGGAAAUUUUGGGUUCGUGUAAUUGUACCCAAGUGCUAUAGUUCUCGUUGUUUCUGUUGUUAAUCGGCCUUCGAUGGAAUCAUGGAAAUCGAAGACCUGAAUUAUAGAGGAAAGUCUAUAAGGGAUGAGGGUAAUGGGUCUUCUUGUUGUUGUUGUUGUUUAACGGGAUGGUGAUGAGAGGGUUGUAUAUAUUUUUCAACCCACAAUGAGAGAGAGAUAUGAAGCAACCCAGAUAAGAAAACUAGCAGCUUCUAAUUCAAAGGUAUAGUGGAACAUGAAGUCUUGGAAAUCAUUCAUCAAGUUUUGUUUCAAUCUUCAAAGAAAGCAAGGAACCAAGAUAGUCGUUUUGAGAGUUCAGUGAGAGGAGGAGAGAGAUGUGGAAGAAGAAGAGAUAAAAAUAAAAAAUAAAAAAUUAAUUAAAUGAAAAAAAAGUGAGGGUAAGAAAGCUGCCUGCCCAGAAGAAGAGAAAAGAGACAGCUGGGUGCUAAAAAAGUUGAAGAGACCAUUUUAUCCCUUGAAAUAUGACAGUUGGCACGAAACUAACGGCGUCAUUGACGUCGUGUAUGUUUACUGGGUCGGUUUUGAAACCUCAUGUACCAAAGUUUAUGUUUUAGAAAUUGAUGUACUGAAAUUCGUAGGGGCCCUUACUUCGGAUACUAUUCAUGAAUUUUUCCCUUUAUUUUUUGUGUUGAUGAAGAAAUAAUCUUUCUUAUUUUGUCCAGAUACUCAAUUAAAUAGUAUAUCCUGGCAAAUAAAUUCAUUCCAAUUAUUUCAUUA